GGCGCAGGCGGUUUUUCAAGUCGGGUGUAAAAUCUCCCCGCUCAACGGGGAGGGAUCGCCCGAUACUGUUGAGCUAGAGGGCAUCAGAGGGAGGCGGAAUUCCCGGUGUAGUGGUGAAAUACGUAGAUAUCGGGAGGAACACCAGUGGCGAAGGCGGCCUCCUAGGAUGUUUCUGACGCUGAGGUCCGAAAGCGUGGGGAGCGAACA
Molecule: ribosomal RNA, 207 nt
Filed under: uncultured bacterium
Lineage: Bacteria
Description: partial 16S ribosomal RNA
Rfam family: Bacterial small subunit ribosomal RNA
Source: RNAcentral